RNAcentral lists this ribosomal RNA (359 nucleotides) under uncultured bacterium. Its description in RNAcentral is "bacterial SSU rRNA". It matches the Rfam family "Bacterial small subunit ribosomal RNA", at positions 326 to 678 of the family's 1533-position model. The record is from RNAcentral.
ACGGUCCAAACUCCUACGGGAGGCAGCAGUAAGGAAUUUUCGGCAAUGGGGGAAACCCUGACCGAGCAACGCCGCGUGAGUGAUGAAGGUCUUUUGAUCGUAAAACGCUGUUGUUAGGGAUGAACUAUACUUCUAGGAAAUGAGAAGUAUUUGACAGUACCUAACCAGAAAGCCACGGCUAACUACGUGCCAGCAGCCGCGGUAAUACGUAGGUGGCAAGCGUUAUCCGGAAUUAUUGGGCGUAAAGAGUGAGCAGGCGGCAGUUUAAGUCUGGAGUGAAAGCGUGAAGCUCAACUUCAUACAGCUCCAGAAACUGAACAGCUAGAGUACGGGAGAAGUAAGUGGAAUUCCAUGUGUAG